CCUACGGGAGGCAGCAGUGAGGGAUAUUGGUCAAUGGACGCAAGCCUGAACCAGCCAAGCAGCGUGCAGGAUGACUGCUCUAUGGGUUGUAAACUUCUUUUAUAUGGGCGUAAAGUGCAGUAUGUAUACUUCUUUGAAUGUAUCUUACGAAUAAGGAUCGGCUAACUCCGUGCCAGCAGCCGCGGUAAUACGGAGGAUCCGAGCGUUAUCCGGAUUUAUUGGGUUUAAAGGGAGCGUAGGCGGUUUGUUAAGUCAGUUGUGAAAGUUCGCGGCUCAAACGUAAAAUUGCAGUUGAUACUGGCAGACUAGAGAGCAGUAGAGGUAGGCGGAAUGCGUGGUGUAGCGGUGAAAUGCUUAGAUAUCACGAAGAACUCCGAUUGCGAAGGCAGCCUGCUGGACUGUAACUGACGCUGAGGCUCGAAAGUGUGGGGAUCAAACAGGAUUAGAUACCCCUGUAGUC
This 460-nucleotide ribosomal RNA is filed under the name uncultured bacterium. RNAcentral's name for it is "partial 16S ribosomal RNA". It matches the Rfam family "Bacterial small subunit ribosomal RNA", at positions 338 to 795 of the family's 1533-position model. The record is from RNAcentral.